Non-coding RNA from Podarcis lilfordi (Lilford's wall lizard), 298 nucleotides. Lineage: Eukaryota; Metazoa; Chordata; Lepidosauria; Squamata; Lacertidae. The record is from the annotation of a GenBank genome assembly.
GAGAGCCAGUGUGGUGUAGUGGUUAAGAGCGGUAGACUCCUAAUCUGGGGAACUGGGUUUGCGUCUCCGCUCCUCCACAUGCAGCUGCUGGGUGACCUUGGGCCAGUCACACUUCUUUGAAGUCUCUCAGCCCCACUCACCUCACAGAGUGUUUGUUGUGGGGGAGGAAGGGAAAGGAGAAUGUUAGCCGCUUUGAGACUCCUUAAAGGGAGUGAAAGGCGGGAUAUCAAAUCCAAACUCCUCCUCCUCUUCUUCUUCUUCUUCUUCUUCUUCUUCUUCUUCUUCUUCUUCUUCUCAU